This is a long non-coding RNA of Fukomys damarensis (Damara mole-rat), 424 nucleotides long. RefSeq lists it as uncharacterized. NCBI's taxonomy places the organism in Eukaryota, Metazoa, Chordata, Mammalia, Rodentia, Bathyergidae. The record is from RefSeq and is a predicted model, not a curated record. The transcript is spliced from 3 exons.
UAAAAAUAUUAUGGUUCUGGUCUGGUCUUGGUUUUCGGCUUUUUUACCUAACUCCUACUAUCCUAAAAUUCCCAUGGCUCUUUCAUCUAAAUGUUUCUUCUCAUCCUUGCUUUGUGUAGCUUUAAGAUAUAAACAGAGGACUCCAUAAAGACAGAUGAUUGAAUGACUCAGCUUGGGGCCAAGGUUACUAUUGGUGGUGCGUGCCUUGUGGCUCAGACAAGAUCUCCCUAAAUCCUAAGUUGUCCAGAUGGUGCUCUAACUUGUGAUCCCCCUGCCUGGGCCUCCCAGAGUGCUGAGAUUAUAAACAUGCUUCACCAUGCUUAAACAUUCGCACCUUUCCAGGCAUACUGUCAAGCAUAUUAGAAAUAAAGCCUGAGACGCCAUGUUCAGGCUUAACUCACCAUCACGGAAACUGGAGCCUGCC